UUCGCCCUUUUCCGGUUGAUCCCGCCGGACCCGACUGCUAUCAGAGUGGGACUAAGCCAUGCGAGUCAACGUAGUAAUACGUGGCAUACGGCUCAGUAACACAUAGUCAACAUGCCCAGAGGACGUGGAUAACCUCGGGAAACUGAGGAUAAACCGCGAUAGGUCAUAAUUCCUGGAAUGGUUUAUGGCUGAAACCUAUAUGGCCCCUGGAUUGGACUGCGGCCGAUCAGGCUGUUGGUGAGGUAAUGGCCCACCAAACCUGUAACCGGUACGGGCUCUGAGAGGAGAAGCCCGGAGAUGGGCACUGAGACAAGGGCCCAGGCCCUAUGGGGCGCAGCAGGCGCGAAACCUCUGCAAUAGGCGAAAGCCUGACAGGGUUACUCUGAGUGGUUCCCGCUAAGGGGAUCUUUUGGCACCUCUAAAAAUGGUGCAGAAUAAGGGGUGGGCAAGCCUGGUGUCAGCCGCCGCGGUAAUACCAGCACCCCGAGUGGUCGGGACGAUUAUUGGGCCUAAAGCAUCCGUAGCCGGUCAUGCAAGUCUUCCGUUAAAUCCACCCGCUCAACGGUUGGGCUGCGGAGGAUACUACGUGGCUAGGAGGCGGGAGAGGCAAGCGGUACUC
This 619-nucleotide ribosomal RNA is filed under the name uncultured archaeon. Its description in RNAcentral is "bacterial SSU rRNA". It matches the Rfam family "Archaeal small subunit ribosomal RNA", at positions 1 to 620 of the family's 1478-position model. The record is from RNAcentral.